UACGGAGGGGACUAGCGUUGUUCGGAAUUAUUGGGUUUAAAGGGUCCGUAGGCGGGCUAUUAAGUCAGUGGUGAAAGUCUGCAGCUCAACUGUAGAAUUGCCUUUGAUACUGAUAGUCUUGAGUUAUAGUGAAGUUGCCGGAAUAUGUAGUGUAGCGGUGAAAUGCUUAGAUAUUACAUAGAAUACCGAUUGCGAAGGCAGCUCACUAAGUAUACACUGACGCUGAUGGACGAAAGCGUGGGGAGCGAAC
RNAcentral lists this ribosomal RNA (250 nucleotides) under uncultured bacterium. RNAcentral describes it as "partial 16S ribosomal RNA". It matches the Rfam family "Bacterial small subunit ribosomal RNA", at positions 524 to 773 of the family's 1533-position model. The record is from RNAcentral.